Oreochromis niloticus (Nile tilapia) is the source of this 256-nucleotide long non-coding RNA. RefSeq lists it as uncharacterized. The transcript is spliced from 2 exons. The record is from RefSeq and is a predicted model, not a curated record. NCBI's taxonomy places the organism in Eukaryota, Metazoa, Chordata, Actinopteri, Cichliformes, Cichlidae.
CUGAUGUUGAAACCCACAGAAAACAGAAGAUGGAUGCUGUGAAAACAUCAGAAUGCUGGACUCUGGUGUUUGUCUGCCUCCUGCUGUCUGUAACUACAGAUCAGAAAAUCAUCACAGCUGAGUCCGGACAGAGCGUCACACUGCCGUGUCGAGCUCCACAUGACAGCAAAACCAUCACAGUAGUAGAGUGGAGCAGAACUGAUUUGGAGUAAGAACAUGUGGUUUUGUACCGAGAUGAACAGUUUGAUCCAAAUGA